Molecule: ribosomal RNA, 272 nt
Filed under: uncultured prokaryote
Description: partial 16S ribosomal RNA
Rfam family: Bacterial small subunit ribosomal RNA
Source: RNAcentral
UACGGAGGGAGCUAGCGUUGUUCGGAAUUACUGGGCGUAAAGCGCACGUAGGCGGCGAUUCAAGUCAGAGGUGAAAGCCCGGGGCUCAACCCCGGAACUGCCUUUGAAACUAGAUUGCUAGAAUCCUGGAGAGGUUAGUGGAAUUCCGAGUGUAGAGGUGAAAUUCGUAGAUAUUCGGAAGAACACCAGUGGCGAAGGCGACUAACUGGACAGGUAUUGACGCUGAGGUGCGAAAGCGUGGGGAGCAAACAGGAUUAGAAACCCAGUAGUCC